GCGCCAACUUGUAAUCUGUGCAGGGGCAUCAGAGUGGUGGGAUAAUGGUUCGGUUCACCAGACAGGGUCUGUCUGUGCAACUAUCUGGCCCGCCCGUUCCAAGUUGAGAGAUGGGCCUUGUGAUUUGGGCGAAGGUCUGGAUCACAUGGUCCCUAAAGUAGAGGGUACUGCGUGAGGCUGGUUUCACAGAGCAGCGAAGACCUCUCGCUCUCAACAGUGGAAGGAUUACGGGCUGGUGUACUACUGGCCCACAUUGCCUGGUUGAGUUGGACUCCUUAGACCACCACUUUU
This is a long non-coding RNA of Quercus robur (English oak), 291 nucleotides long. RefSeq lists it as uncharacterized. The transcript has 2 exons. The record is from RefSeq and is a predicted model, not a curated record. NCBI's taxonomy places the organism in Eukaryota, Viridiplantae, Streptophyta, Magnoliopsida, Fagales, Fagaceae.